AUUGAACGCUGGCGGCAGGCCUAACACAUGCAAGUCGAACGGUAACAGGAAGCAGCUUGCUGCUUUGCUGACGAGUGGCGGACGGGUGAGUAAUGUCUGGGAAACUGCCUGAUGGAGGGGGAUAACUACUGGAAACGGUAGCUAAUACCGCAUAACGUCGCAAGACCAAAGAGGGGGACCUUCGGGCCUCUUGCCAUCGGAUUGCCCAGAUGGGAUUAGCUAGUAGGUGGGGUAACGGCUCACCUAGGCGACGAUCCCUAGCUGGUCUGAGAGGAUGACCAGCCACACUGGAACUGAGACACGGUCCAGACUCCUACGGGAGGCAGCAGUGGGGAAUAUUGCACAAUGGGCGCAAGCCUGAUGCAGCCAUGCCGCGUGUAUGAAGAAGGCCUUCGGGUUGUAAAGUACUUUCAGCGGGGAGGAAGGCGAUAAGGUUAAUAACCUUGUCGAUUGACGUUACCCGCAGAAGAAGCACCG
Molecule: ribosomal RNA, 477 nt
Filed under: Enterobacter hormaechei
Lineage: Bacteria; Pseudomonadati; Pseudomonadota; Gammaproteobacteria; Enterobacterales; Enterobacteriaceae
Description: bacterial SSU rRNA
Rfam family: Bacterial small subunit ribosomal RNA
Source: RNAcentral